AACGAACGCUGGCGGCAUGCCUAACACAUGCAAGUCGAACGAGACCUUCGGGUCUAGUGGCGCACGGGUGCGUAACGCGUGGGAACCUGCCCUUAGGUUCGGAAUAACUCCCCGAAAGGGGUGCUAAUACCGGUUAAUGUCUUCGGACCAAAGAUUUAUCGCCUUUGGAUGGGCCCGCGUUGGAUUAGCUAGUUGGUAGGGUAAAAGCCUACCAAGGCGACGAUCCAUAGCUGGUCUGAGAGGAUGAUCAGCCACACUGGGACUGAGACACGGCCCAGACUCCUACGGGAGGGAGCAGUGGGGAAUAUUGGACGAUGGGCGAAAGCCUGAUCCAGCAAUGCCGCGUGAGUGAUGAAGGCCUUAGGGUUGUAAAGCUCUUUUACCCGGGAUGAUAAUGACAGUACCGGGAGAAUAAGCACCGGCUAACUCCGUG
Molecule: ribosomal RNA, 433 nt
Filed under: uncultured bacterium
Lineage: Bacteria
Description: partial 16S ribosomal RNA
Rfam family: Bacterial small subunit ribosomal RNA
Source: RNAcentral